This 429-nucleotide ribosomal RNA is filed under the name Acidobacteriota bacterium. Its description in RNAcentral is "Acidobacteria bacterium partial 16S ribosomal RNA". It matches the Rfam family "Bacterial small subunit ribosomal RNA", at positions 355 to 776 of the family's 1533-position model. The record is from RNAcentral. Lineage: Bacteria; Pseudomonadati; Acidobacteriota.
UGGGGAAUUUUGGACAAUGGGGGAAACCCUGAUCCAGCCAUCCCGCGUGUGCGAUGAAGGCCUUCGGGUUGUAAAGCACUUUUUGCAGGAAAGAAACGUCAUGGGUUAAUACCCCGUGAAACUGACGGUACCUGCAGAAUAAGCACCGGCUAACUACGUGCCAGCAGCCGCGGUAAUACGUAGGGUGCAAGCGUUAAUCGGAAUUACUGGGCGUAAAGCGUGCGCAGGCGGUUCGGAAAGAAAGAUGUGAAAUCCGAGAGCUCAACUUUGGAACUGCAUUUUUAACUACCGGGCUAGGGUGUGUCAGAGGGAGGUGGAAUUCCGCGUGUAGCAGUGAAAUGCGUAGAUAUGCGGAGGAACACCGAUGGCGAAGGCAGCCUCCUGGGAUAACACUGACGCUCAUGCACGAAAGCGUGGGGAGCAAACAGG